CCCUUUUACAAAAAUAUAAAAAAAUUUCAAAAAAUUUGAACCAACCGUUUUAUCAGAAAUAUUACACUGGUUAUAUAGCAGUUUGACAAACACUUAUUUUGAUCAUUGAGAAGCUUAAUAUUCCCUUAACAACACAACGUAAUUAAAACGUUUAGCUGAUUUUACAGAGUUAUCUCCCUGUAGUGUUAGGUACCACCUUAAAU
RNAcentral lists this long non-coding RNA (203 nucleotides) under Mytilus galloprovincialis (Mediterranean mussel). The record is from RNAcentral. Lineage: Eukaryota; Metazoa; Mollusca; Bivalvia; Mytilida; Mytilidae.